This 542-nucleotide ribosomal RNA is filed under the name Trichiurus brevis (Chinese short-tailed hairtail). Its description in RNAcentral is "partial 16S ribosomal RNA". It matches the Rfam family "Bacterial large subunit ribosomal RNA", at positions 1816 to 2560 of the family's 2925-position model. The record is from RNAcentral. Lineage: Eukaryota; Metazoa; Chordata; Actinopteri; Scombriformes; Trichiuridae.
CGCCUCUUGUAAUUUCUAAAAAAAGAGGUCCCGUCUGCCCCCUGACUCCAUGUUUAACGGCCGCGGUAUCUUAACCGUGCGAAGGUAGCGUAAUCACUUGUCUUUUAAUUAAGGACCCGUAUGAAUGACAUAACGAGGGCUCAACUGUCUCCUUCUUUUAGUCAAUGAAACUGAUCUCCCCGUGCAGAAGCGGGGAUUUAACCAUAAGACGAGAAGACCCUAUGAAGCUUUAGACACCAGGGCAUAUCCUGUUAAUACCCCCCGAUCAACGGGCCAAAACCCAUCCACCCAUGCCCUCGUCUUAGGUUGGGGCGACCUCGGGGAACAAAAACCCCCCACGUGGAACAGUAGCACUUGCUAUCCACAAUCAAGAGCCACAACUCUAAAAACCAGAACCUCUGACCACAAAAUGACCCGGAAUAAAUACCGAUCAACGAACCAAGUUACUCUAGGGAUAACAGCGCAAUCCCCUUUUCAGAGGCCGCAUCAACAAGGGGGUUUACGACCUCGAUGUUGGAUCAGGACAUCCUAAUGGUGCAGCC